Ribosomal RNA from Erinaceus europaeus (western European hedgehog), 109 nucleotides. Lineage: Eukaryota; Metazoa; Chordata; Mammalia; Eulipotyphla; Erinaceidae. The record is from Ensembl.
GUCUAUGACCAUACCACCCUGAACAUGCCUGAUCUCGUAUGAUCUCAGAAGCUAAGCAGGGUUGGGCUUGGUUAGUACUUGGAUGGGAGAGAGGAAUGAGAUCGAGACA